GUCAGCAGCCGCGGUAACACCGGCAGCUCUAGUGGUAGCAGUUUUAUGGGCCUAAAGCGUCCGUAGCCGGUUUAAUAAGUCUCUGGUGAAAUCCUGUAGCUUAACUGUGGGAAUUGCUGGAGAUACUAUUAGACUUGAGACCGGGAGAGGUUAGAGGUACUCCCAGGGUAGAGGUGAAAUUCUGUAAUCCUGGGAGGACCGCCUGUUGCGAAGGCGUCUAACUGGAACGGUUCUGACGGUGAGGGACGAAAGUUAGGGGCGCGAACCGGAUUAGAUACCCGGGUAGUCCUAACCGUAAACGAUGCGGACUUGGUGUUGGGGUGGCUUUGAGCUGCUCCAGUGCCGAAGGGAAGCUGUUAAGUCCGCCGCCUGGGAAGUACGGUCGCAAGACUGAAACUUAAGGAAUUGGCGGGGGAGCACCACAACGCGUGGAGCCUGCCGGUUUAAUUGGAUUCAACGCCGGACAUCUCACCAGAGGCGACAGCUGUAUGAUAGCCAGGCUGAUGACUUUGCUUGACUAGCUGAGGGGAGGUGCAUGG
This 539-nucleotide ribosomal RNA is filed under the name uncultured archaeon. RNAcentral describes it as "bacterial SSU rRNA". It matches the Rfam family "Archaeal small subunit ribosomal RNA", at positions 457 to 997 of the family's 1478-position model. The record is from RNAcentral.